This 1251-nucleotide ribosomal RNA is filed under the name Triticum aestivum (bread wheat). RNAcentral describes it as "partial small subunit ribosomal RNA". The record is from RNAcentral. Lineage: Eukaryota; Viridiplantae; Streptophyta; Magnoliopsida; Poales; Poaceae.
AUGCAGGAAGAUCUCAUUGGGCAAGAACUCGACGGAGACGUCAAACACGGUGCUCCGAGGAAGCCCAUCUGCGACCUCUCUGACCCUAGGUACGACAUCUGCGACAUCACCGGAGACGCCCGUGCCAUCAGCGCCAACCGUACCGUCCUCUAUGUCCCGCCUGUGGAGCAGCGCGGCAUCGACGGCCCGGAAUGGGCCAUCAAGGACCAGUCCCGCAAGAAUCUGGGGGACAUCAUCGAGGUGAAUGUCAAGACCCUAAGCGCCGCGCAGUCACUGGUGGCGCCGGAGUGCACCUCAAGGCACGCAGUCCCGGCCGCCGUGUUUGCCAUGAACGUCAUCAUCGGCAACCCAUGGCAUGACUUGAGCAACGUCCUGAUCCCGCUCUUCAUCACCACCCGCGCCUACGACGGCGAGGUCCAGUUCCUUGUCACCGAGCUCCAGCCGUGGUUCGUGGACAAGUAUCGUCUCAUCCUCACCAACCUACUGUCAUGCUGCGACAUUGUCGACUUCAACAAGGACGCCGGCGUCCGUUGCUACCCGCACAUCAUAGUCGGCCUCCGCAGCCAUGGUGACCUCUACAUCGACCCAACCCGCACGUCGCACAACUACACAUUGCUAGAUUUUUGCCUCUACAUCCGGGAGGUCUUCUCGCUUCCGCCGGAGAGCCGAGGAACCCCGUACAAGGAGGCCAGUAAGAAGAACGCAGCCAACGAAAAUGGCACUGUCACGGAGAAACCAAAGCCGCGGCUCUUGCUCAUCAAUCGCGGCGAGAGCAGGAAGUUCGUCAACCUUCCGGAGGUCUCUGCGGCGGUGCAGGCAGCCGGGUUCGAGCUGCUGGUCAUGGAGCCGACCCGUGACAUGGGGAUGGAGGAGUUCGCCCGGGCGGUGGACUCGUGCGACGUGCUGAUGGGUGUGCACGGGGCCGCGCUCACAAACUUCUUCUUCCUGCGCACCAACGCGGUGCUGCUGCAGGUGGUGGGGUCGGGCCUCGAGCGCGAGGCCUUGCAUUACUACGGCAAUCAGGCCAAGGCGGUGAUGGUGCAACACAUCCAGUACUUCAUCAGCGCCGAGGAGAGCACGCUCUACGAAAAGUACGGCAAGGACCACCCGGCGGUAAGUGACCCGGACUCGGUACACAAGCAGGGUUGGCAAGGUGCAAAGCGGUACUUCUGGGCGGAGCAGGACAUCAGACUCAACCUCACCAGAUUUGCCCCCACGCUGCAUCAGCUGCUUCGAGCACUUCGGGAGUAG